RNAcentral lists this ribosomal RNA (460 nucleotides) under uncultured bacterium. RNAcentral's name for it is "partial 16S ribosomal RNA". It matches the Rfam family "Bacterial small subunit ribosomal RNA", at positions 338 to 795 of the family's 1533-position model. The record is from RNAcentral.
CCUACGGGGUGCAGCAGUGAGGAAUAUUGGUCAAUGGACGAGAGUCUGAACCAGCCAAGUAGCGUGAAGGAUGACUGCCCUAUGGGUUGUAAACUUCUUUUAUAUGGGAAUAAAAUGUUCCACGUGUGGGAUUUUGUAUGUACCAUAUGAAGAAGAAUCGGCUAAGUACGUGCCAGCAGCCGCGGUAAUACGGAGUAUCCGAGCGUUAUCCGGAUUUAUUGGGGUUAAAGGGAGCGUAGGUGGAUUGUUAAGUCAGUUGUGAAAGUGUGCGGCUCAACCGUAAAAUUGCAGUUGAAACUGGCAGUCUUGAGUACAGUAGAGGUGGGCGGAAUUCGUGGUGUAGCGGUGAAAUGCUUAGAUAUCACGAAGAACUCCGAUUGCGAAGGCAGUUCACUGGACUGCAACUGACACUGAGGCUCGAAAGUGUGGGUAUCAAACAGGAUUAGAUACCCCAGUAGUC